This is an RNA transcript of Planococcus citri (citrus mealybug), 2512 nucleotides long. RefSeq lists it as uncharacterized. NCBI's taxonomy places the organism in Eukaryota, Metazoa, Arthropoda, Insecta, Hemiptera, Pseudococcidae. The transcript is spliced from 9 exons. The record is from RefSeq and is a predicted model, not a curated record.
UUCUCACCAUAAUACAUAUAUAUCGCAUCGCUCUCGAGAAAUAGGUAGGUAUAAUAUUUCCAUGGCAAAUGUAAAAUAUACGUCGGCAAAAUUUGCUCACUUUCGCUAGUUGAAACGUGACAAUUUCAUUAGCAACGCUGAUAUGAUUAUUUGAUCAAAAAUGGACGAAGAGUUAUUUAAUAAAGUUGUCACCGAAGUUUCCAGUUUCUAUCGAGCAAUUACAACACCAUUUUUGAAUCGAAUGUCCGAUCAUGAUAGAGAAAACGCAGUAUUAUGGAGUCAAAAAAUAAUGGAUUUAAAGAACUACGAUUCGUUGACGAAGUAUCUGACAUAUUUAACUUUCAUGAUUAUAAACGGACGACUGGUCACACCUUUCGAUACAGAUCCGAAUACUUCGCAAAUUCCACCUCUUCCAGUACACGUUGGAGAAGCCAAGAUGUUGGAUUUCAUCGAAAAAGUCGUAGCUCAAUGUCAAUCGGUACAAAACAACCAAAGCUCGCAGCAUUCAACCUCUGGUGAAAUUUCGGCAGCUCUCUCUAACGAUGAAAUGGCUUUCAUAUCGACGCAGCCGACUCCGGGAGUAGGUAUUCGAAUGUACCUAGCUACAUCAGCUCAGCCUUUCGCAAUGUGGUCGAAAGCCGAAAAUGCUCCUCAAGCCACCAAAUACAGUCUACCAGCCAGAGAAGUAAUCGAUCGAGGAUUAGCAGUAGCCAAGGAAAAAUUCUACUCGUAUUUAGAAGAAAUCGAGAAGCUCAAUAAGCGAAACGAAUCCUCAGGGGGUGCUGGAGUAAACGCAAACUGCGUAAAAUGCCAGAAGCCUGUUUCCGUCGGUAAUGUAUCUACUCUAGACACCAGUAAAUCUACUCUGGAUGGAACUAUAUCUGAUAUUAAUUAUGAUUUUGGAAGCUUAAACGAUACCUCGAAUCGAUCCGAACCAACAAAUGGCUCCAGAAUACCUCGACAAGUGCAGGAAGAGACGCUAGAUAGUACUCAUGCCUCAUCCAAUGAUCGAUCUGCCUGUCAAAAUGAGGUCGCUGGACCUUCUGGAGCAAAUGCUAGCACCGCGACAAUUCCUCCAAAAGUUGGCAAAUACGGCGGUUACAGAACUCGGCCAUGCGAACCUUUGAACGAAGAAGACAGGAGACGAGAGGCGGAAAUAGACGAGAAAUACGAACGUUGGUUCGGCGAGCCGCAAUACAACAAGUAUCGAGAAGAAAUCAGAGGAUUUCUCAGGGGUGGCACGAAAAUAGACGCUAUCAGACGAGCGGUUCAUUCGCAUAUCAGACAACAACACGUACCAGGUCGAGAAUUACCUCUUUACGCUUACGAUUCAGAAGAUGAAUCAGUUCAUCGUGAGAUACGUAUCAUUCAUCUUCGAACGAGAUAUCUGGACGUACUAGGAAGAGAAUACGGAAUCGUAGACGAAGCCGAACUUUAUUACCUCGUCGGACUAAUGGGCUUAAGCGAAAAGAACAUGGAAAAGGCCAGAGAACUAAUUAAAUACGCCGAGGAAGGUCUAAUCGACGAAAAUUUCAGACAGAAAUUCCAUUCGGUUGAAGGUCGAACGAUGUGUAGACUUAUUCCAAUCAUCGAAGAGAUACUACAAUCGACUCGUAGAUCAGCGAAUACGUCUCAAUCGUCGAUUCCUGUUGCAUCUCAAUCGGCAUCUUCAUCUACACAGGCUAAUAAGACUUCCGGAAGACCAAACACAUCUCAACAUCGUAGUAUGAGAUCUAUGCCUCCAACUUCUGUCAUGGAUAAUCAUUCUGAUAGCGUACGUGACGAUUCAUCAGAUCAUUCGAAUCGAUCGAAUAUCGAAAACGAACCGGAGCCGGAAUUUUUUCAAAGGGUUGAACAACUCGAUGAUACCCAAAAUUCAAACGAACAACAAAAUCCAACGAAUUCUACACAAAACUCAUCGAAUGAAGAUCAAUCUGAACAGGAACCAGAUGGAAGGGUUUAUCCUCAUUGUCCUAAAGAAAACUGUGAUUAAAAUAAGAUAAUUUUUAUCGUUUCUAUUCGUAUUAUGUACGUAUUUUGACGCAGGUACAUUUAUUUCGAUUAAACGACCAACGUACAAAAACGCUGAUGGGAUGGGUGUACAUAUUUACUUACUUGGAUUAACGUAUAUCGAGGUAAUUUCUGAUUCAAUUGUUCCAGGUCAUUGUUAAGUUCGAUGCACUUGAAUAAUUCGCAUGUUUGUUCGGUUUAAAUUGAUGCAUUAUCUUUCUCACUAGUAAAAAGCAUCCAUCCCGUUGAGUUUAAGCAGGAAAAAACACUGCAAUAGUGAUUAAAAGAUAAAUUCCUGGUGAUGGAACAGAAUGAAUCGUAAUUCGUAGUUCUUAUUUGGUGAUGAAUCAAUUUUGACUUUUUGACAAAUGGCGAUAAUAAUAUGAAAAAUGGUUCAAAUUAAUUUAAAUUUAGCAGCUCAUGUGACACAUAUUUUACGUUAUUAAUGUAAAAAAAAAAAACGACCAAAUGUUUAAUAAAAAGCGGAGGCUCGUCAAUCAAA